RNA transcript from Macaca mulatta (Rhesus monkey), 3753 nucleotides. RefSeq lists it as uncharacterized. NCBI's taxonomy places the organism in Eukaryota, Metazoa, Chordata, Mammalia, Primates, Cercopithecidae. The record is from RefSeq and is a predicted model, not a curated record.
GAAGGAGGGAGGAAGGGAGGAGAGGAAGGGAGGUGAAACAGUUUAAAGGAGGUGAUGGGCAGGAUAAGAGGAGCAUCUGUAAUUUCACCUUUCUCCCCCUCCUUUUCUCAGAGCCCCUCUUCUUGGGCCUGUGAUUCCUCACCUGGAAGGGAGAAGAGCAGACUUCCUGCCUGGAGAACACCUUGGUAAACUGCUCUUUAUCCUGUCAUGAGAAGGUGUGCAGCUUAGGGAAAAAGCCUGUGAGCUCUGGAAUCAGAUGGAACUGGGUGUAAGUUUCAGCUUAGUGCCUGUUGGAUUAAAUGUGAUGCUAGUAGGUACACAUGCCUGGUUGCUGCUCAAGAAAUGGAGCUGUUAUUAUUUACAUCGUAAUUUGAACUUCAUUCAUUCAGCCCUUACUGAUAAGCACCACAGGCCCUCCUUCCACAGGGCUCACCUUCAGAAAGUUCUACAUGUCCCUUACUUUCUGGUAGGCAUAUUCGGGGGCAUGUACCGUGAAGGCCCAGGGAUCUGGAGAUGAAGACAGAGUCCUGUCCGCUGAGGGGUUCACAUCUUUCCAUAAAACAUUCUGACCCUCCCUGUUUCUUCUCGUCUCCUCCUCCAAUCCCCCCUAGGCUGGGGCACUUCCUCUGCACUCUCUCUCUGGAAGCAGGGAGGGGAUUCCAACCUCCUCCAGUCCCCUGCCAGGUAUCCUGAGCCUGAGAGCCCCUCAGAGCAUGGUCUGCAGUUACCUCCUCACUUACAGGCCAGACUGAGAUGCUCGCCACUUGUGAUUGCCCAGGCAGAGGGGAGAGGUCAAACUCUUCCCAUGGCUUCCUUUCCCCUCUGUGAAAACUCCGAAUCUUUGCUCUUGAUUUUUUUUAGUGUGUACCCUUUUGCAUUUUAGCUUCUCCCAGCCGAAAGAAUAAAACUGGUAAGAGGAAGGGAAAUGCAGCCUCACUGAGAAGGCCUCCAUUCUGGGAGGGCUUCUCAGGCCCAGAGAAGGGAGAAAGUAAUUUGGAACUACCCAAGUAUUGGUGAUGCCAGGCUUCACCCUACCCUGGGGAUAUAUGAAUCUCAAAAAGGGGGCAUGGGGAUCUGACAAAGCACUUGCAUAUAUAAAGAACUCCUCCAAAUCAACAAGGCAAAAACAGUAGAUGCAUAGGCAAAAACCUUAGAAGAGCCACGUCACAAAGGAGGACCUCCAAAUGGCCAAGAAGCACAUGAAAAGAUGUUCAACCUCAUUAGCUAUCAGGGAAAUUCCCAUUAGAACUACACUGGGAUGGCUGAAAGUGCAAAGACUGACAAUAUCAAGGGCUGGUGAGGAUGUGGAGCAACUGGAACUCUCCUAUGCUGCUGGGGAAGGGGUAAAUUAAUACCAUCCCUUUGGAAGAACAGUUUGGAAGCAUCACUAAAGCUGAACAUAUUCAUGCCUACUCCAGAAAUCCUGAGCCCAGUGGCUCCCUUUGAAGAACCGCCUUGGGGUCCAUGUUGCAGCAUCAAACAGGGAUGGAAGAUGCAUCUUGCUUUAGCAGCAGGAGCCUGGAAAGCAGCUGAAGCCCUGGGGGGUGCCUGGCACACAGAAUCUUGUGCUGAGCCCGGAGCACAAUGGGAGUGGGCUAGCGGGGUGGGUUCACAGCUGGACUGGGAGCAGCAGACAUACAGGCCGUAGGCACAGACACAUAAAUACAGUCAUGCAGAUUGCAGGAUGCCUGAGAGCACAGACUCUCACAUGCACAAACACAUGCAUGAUCACCAAUGUGCAUCCAGACAGUAGCCCUACAUGCACGCACACGCAUGCACACAUGUGAUGUGUACAUAGAUGGACACAUGUCUAUGCCCGCAAACACUGCAGAGACACACACAAAAGUGUCUGGUAAGGAACACUAUUUUGUCCUCAAUUUUCUGCGAGCGAGAGUCUACUGACUCCAUCUCUGAAAUGUCCCUACUUAUUGUCCCUCUUCUCCACCUGUGCCACAGCCCUAGUCCCUGAAACUCCCACCAAGACCCCUGGGCAAUAGCAAAGUCAGGACAGGAUUCCUGCUCCACCUCUACCCCACCCUUAAGCCCAUCCUACAUGCAAGAGCAAGAGUUAUCUGGGUAUCAAGCAAAUCUAAACACAUCACCUCCCCACUGCUUAAAAUGCUUUCCUACAGGAUAAAGUUUAAAUCACUUGGCAUCCCAUAUAAGGCCCUUGACUGUCUGGUGUCAGCCAUAGUCUGGCCUCAGGCCCUGUCAUGGAGCCCCCUAGACUCAAUGCUCUGGCUGAGGGCCUCCAGGAUGAAGAUGCCCUGUGCAAAGUCUUACACUUUUGCCGUUGCUGGGCUACUAUGUGAAAUUCCCUCCUCCCUCCUUCCACUUUCCCUAUGCUGAACUGCCACUCCUCCAUCCUCCAUGGCCAGCUAAGCCAACACCUCCUACUUCCUCCUGACAACCCAGGCACAGCCUGUCCCAUGGCUGUCACAGCCCUUUCUUGGGCUCUCCAUGGUAUCAUUGUCACCUGUGUGCUCAUGAGCCUCCACCACUCAACUCCAAGCACAUCAAAUACAGAGCCCAAAACAUACUGGGUAUUCAACAAAUUUCUGGGUGUGAGGGAAUGAAUGAAUUAGUCUGUAAGACAGGAUCACGCUAGGUGAUUGUUCUGGCUACAGAACCUGGGCACGUCCUGUAUGUAACUGCUCUGAUCUCAGCCUCCACAUAGGUAAAAAGGGCUGUCUACCUCCUGGCAGAAUCUAUGGUUCAGACCAUGGAGAUGUAUAUAAAUAACUGAGCUGAGUGGCUACCAUGGUGGGCGCUCCACAGAUGACAGCCAUAGUUGCUGUCUUUAACUUCUAUUUUUAUUUCCACUGAAGUCUUUCCACUCAUGUUUCUUAAUUCUCCAUCUCCCUCACUGCUUAUCCAGUUCAGUGCUGGGCUCCCGGAACCGGCUCAUUGAAGGUGUGUUGUUGGAUUGAUCGGCUGAAUGGCUUCUUAAGGCUUGUUUCCAGUCUGGGAACUCUGAGCUGAGUACUGCUCUUCCUCCCUCCCAGCCUCCCCUGAGACUGGAAGCGGAGAGCCGUACAGAGAUCACUCCUCUUCCAGGCUCCAGAAGCUGAACAGCUGCUCUGUUUGGAGUUCUGUGCGCUGAGCUGAGUUAGGACCUGGGGGGACAGGAACAGCUGAGCCUUUCUGCUCCAAAAAGCAGAGUCAUUUCAGCCAGCCACCCAGCAGCUGCCUAGCUCCUCCCAGACACCCCCAGGGAUGCUGCACAUGUGGCUAGGGUUCCCAUAGGAACCUCUGUGGAGACCUGCCGUCCCUGCUUCCCCACAUCUCCUUUUGGACUUGUGAGAGAGGUUAGGAAGAGGAGGGGAGGGGAAAGGAUAGGACUGGCAGGCACUUUCGUACACAAACACCCAGUCUCUUAAUCCUCACAAUAACUCUAAGAAAUAUGCUAUUAUUAUCCUUGUUGUACUGACAAGGAAACUGAGGCCCAAAGACAUCUAACCCAAGUUCACCCAGGUAACAAACAAGAGAACUGGUCUGCCACCUUAUCAGUUUGUACUGAUGCAGUUAGUAUCAGUCAGUAUCAGCCAGGGAUCUUUGGUUGCAAGCAACGGAAACCAACUCCCACUAUCACAAACAAAAAAUUUACUGAAGGACUGUGGUGCCACACCAGAAGGAAAGGAAAAGCUGAAGACACAUGAUUGGAAAGGACAGGAAGCAGGGCAGCAUCAGGAUCUGGGUGCCAGGAAUGGACCAUCAUUUCAUUGGAAUAAAUAAACUUCUAUUUUUAAAUUC